CGUAGAGAAAUCGAGUCUUAAUAGGGCGUUUAGUUGCUGGGUAUAGACCCGAAACCAGGCGAUCUAUCCAUGAGCAGGUUGAAGGUUGGGUAACACUAACUGGAGGACCGAACCCACUGUCGUUGAAAAGCCAGGGGAUGACUUGUGGAUAGGGGUGAAAGGCUAAUCAAGCCUGGUGAUAGCUGGUUCUCCCCGAAAGCUAUUUAGGUAGCGCCUCGGACGAAUACCAUAGGGGGUAGAGCACUGUUUCGGCUAGGGGGUCAUCCCGACUUACCAAACCGAUGCAAACUCCGAAUACCUAUGAGUACUAUCCGGGAGACAGACUGCGGGUGCUAACGUCCGUAGUCAAGAGGAAAACAAUCCAGACCGCCAGCUAAGGCCCCAAAAUCAUAGUUAAGUGGGAAACGAUGUGGGAAGGCAUAGACAGCUAGGAGGUUGGCUUAGAAGCAGCCACCCUUUAAAGAAAGCGUAAUAGCUCACUAGUCGAGUCGGCCUGCGCGGAA
Molecule: ribosomal RNA, 503 nt
Filed under: Acinetobacter baumannii
Lineage: Bacteria; Pseudomonadati; Pseudomonadota; Gammaproteobacteria; Moraxellales; Moraxellaceae
Description: partial 23S ribosomal RNA
Rfam family: Bacterial large subunit ribosomal RNA
Source: RNAcentral